GGCCAAAGCGGCUGCCUUACCAUGCAGUCGAACGGUAACAGGGAGCUUGCUCCGCUGACGAGUGGCGAACGGGUGAGUAAUACAUCGGAACGUGCCCAGUAAUGGGGGAUAGCUCGGCGAAAGCCGGAUUAAUACCGCAUACGCCCUGAGGGGGAAAGUGGGGGACCGCAAGGCCUCACGUUAUUGGAGCGGCCGAUGGCUGAUUAGCUAGUUGGUAGGGUAAAGGCCUACCAAGGCGACGAUCAGUAGCUGGUCUGAGAGGACGAUCAGCCACACUGGGACUGAGACACGGCCCAGACUCCUACGGGAGGCAGCAGUGGGGAAUUUUGGACAAUGGGGGAAACCCUGAUCCAGCAAUGCCGCGUGUGCGAAGAAGGCCUUCGGGUUGUAAAGCACUUUUGUCAGGGAAGAAAUCCUUUGGGCUAAUACCCUAGGGGGAUGACGGUACCUGAAGAAUAAGCACCGGCUAACUACGUGCCAGCAGCCGCGGUAAUACGUAGGGUGCAAGCGUUAAUCGGAAUUACUGGGCGUAAAGCGUGCGCAGGCGGUUGUGUAAGACAGGUGUGAAAUCCCCGGGCUUAACCUGGGAAUUGCAUUUGUGACUGCACGA
RNAcentral lists this ribosomal RNA (610 nucleotides) under Limnobacter sp. RNAcentral's name for it is "bacterial SSU rRNA". It matches the Rfam family "Bacterial small subunit ribosomal RNA", at positions 34 to 640 of the family's 1533-position model. The record is from RNAcentral. Lineage: Bacteria; Pseudomonadati; Pseudomonadota; Betaproteobacteria; Burkholderiales; Burkholderiaceae.